GGAUUAGAUACCCUGGUAGUCCACGCUGUAAACGAUGAGUGCUAGAUGUCGCGGGUAUUGACCCCUGCGGUGUCGCAGUUAACGCGUUAAGCACUCCGCCUGGGGAGUACGGCCGCAAGGCUAAAACUCAAAGGAAUUGACGGGGGCCCGCACAAGCGGUGGAGCAUGUGGUUCAAUUCGACGCAACGCGCAGAACCUUACCUGGGUUAAAUCCACCAGAAAGUCGCAGAGACGUGACCGUGCCCUUCGGGGAAUUGGUGAGAAGGUGCUGCAUGGCUGUCGUCAGCUCGUGCCG
RNAcentral lists this ribosomal RNA (295 nucleotides) under uncultured bacterium. RNAcentral describes it as "partial 16S ribosomal RNA". It matches the Rfam family "Bacterial small subunit ribosomal RNA", at positions 775 to 1067 of the family's 1533-position model. The record is from RNAcentral.